Molecule: ribosomal RNA, 253 nt
Filed under: uncultured bacterium
Lineage: Bacteria
Description: partial 16S ribosomal RNA
Rfam family: Bacterial small subunit ribosomal RNA
Source: RNAcentral
UACGAAGGGGGCUAGCGUUGUUCGGAUUUACUGGGCGUAAAGCGCACGUAGGCGGAUCGUUAAGUCGGGGGUGAAAUCCUGGAGCUCAACUCCAGAACUGCCUUCGAUACUGGCGAUCUUGAGUCCGGAAGAGGUGAGUGGAACUCCUAGUGUAGAGGUGGAAUUCGUAGAUAUUAGGAAGAACACCAGUGGCGAAGGCGGCUCACUGGUCCGGUACUGACGCUGAGGUGCGAAAGCGUGGGGGGCAAACAGG